Molecule: long non-coding RNA, 411 nt
Organism: Coregonus clupeaformis (lake whitefish)
Lineage: Eukaryota; Metazoa; Chordata; Actinopteri; Salmoniformes; Salmonidae
Exons: 3
Source: RefSeq, a predicted model, not a curated record
GCUGCGUUCUCCAACUGGUAUAUCUCGAGUUCAAGUUUUGAGGACCAAAAAACGAAAUACAUUCGGGAACAACAAUUGGCAACGUCACUAAAAUUCAUAACAUUAGGAAAAUACUACAGUUUUGGGCAAAAGGCCUUUGGCAGGGGAAAAAACUCAGUUGAGAGAGUACACGUCUCUCUUUCAAGUUGUGGGCAGGAAGACAUUGAAUGCCACCAGGGUAAAGACAAGAACUAAGUAAGUACGUUUUUCCAAGGAAGAGAGAAACUGAGAAGGCCAUGGACCAAAAGGUCGUCGCACUCUUUCACAGCUGAGUGAGCUGUGUCUCUAAAAUGAGUCACUCUGGGGAGAGAGAGGAGGAGCCCACUGCCUCUAAAACGAGUCUCUCUGGGGAGAGAGAGGAGGGGACCACUG